CGGGUGAGUAACACGUGAGUAACCUGCCCCAGGCUUUGGGAUAACCCCGGGAAACCGGGGCUAAUACCGGAUAUGACUGGCUGCCGCAUGGUGGUUGGUGGAAAGAUUUUUUGGCUUGGGAUGGGCUCGCGGCCUAUCAGCUUGUUGGUGGGGUGAUGGCCUACCAAGGCGGCGACGGGUAGCCGGCCUGAGAGGGCGACCGGCCACACUGGGACUGAGACACGAUCCAGACUCAUACGGGAGGCAGCAGUGGGGAAUCUUGCACAAUGGGCGGAAGCCUGAUGCAGCGACGCCGCGUGAGGGAUGACGGCCUUCGGGUUGUAAACCUCUUUCAGCAGGGACGAAGCGUUUGUGACGGUACCUGCAGAAGAAGCGCCGGCCAACUACGUGCCAGCAGCCGCGGUAAGACGUAGGGCGCAAGCGUUGUCCGGAUUUAUUGGGCGUAAAGAGCUCGUAGGCGGCUUGUCGCGUCGACUGUGAAAACCCGUGGCUCAACUGCGGGCUUGCAGUCGAUACGGGCAGGCUAGAGUUCGGUAGGGGAGACUGGAAUUCCUGGUGUAGCGGUGAAAUGCGCAGAUAUCAGGAGGAACACCGGUGGCGAAGGCGGGUCUCUGGGCCGAUACUGACGCUGAGGAGCGAAAGCGUGGGGAGCGAACAGGAUUAGAUACCCUGGUAGUCCACGCUGUAAACGUUGGGCGCUAGGUGUGGGGAGCCUCUCCGGUUCUCUGUGCCGCAGCUAACGCAUUAAGCGCCCGCCUGGGGAGUACGGCCGCAAGGCUAAAAACUCAAAGGAAUUGACGGGGGCCCGCA
RNAcentral lists this ribosomal RNA (810 nucleotides) under Salinispora tropica. RNAcentral describes it as "bacterial SSU rRNA". It matches the Rfam family "Bacterial small subunit ribosomal RNA", at positions 103 to 925 of the family's 1533-position model. Lineage: Bacteria; Bacillati; Actinomycetota; Actinomycetes; Micromonosporales; Micromonosporaceae. The record is from RNAcentral.